RNAcentral lists this ribosomal RNA (239 nucleotides) under uncultured Lactobacillus sp. RNAcentral describes it as "partial 16S ribosomal RNA". It matches the Rfam family "Bacterial small subunit ribosomal RNA", at positions 125 to 354 of the family's 1533-position model. Lineage: Bacteria; Bacillati; Bacillota; Bacilli; Lactobacillales; Lactobacillaceae. The record is from RNAcentral.
CCGUAGUCCAAGAGAUCGGGAUAACACCUGGAAACAGAUGCUAAUACCGGAUAACAACAGAUGAUGCCUAUCAACUGUUUAAAAGAUGGUUCUGCUAUCACUCUUGGAUGGACCUGCGGUGCAUUAGCUAGUUGGUAGGGUAACGGCCUACCAAGGCGAUGAUGCAUAGCCGAGUUGAGAGACUGAUCGGCCACAUUGGGACUGAGACACGGCCCAAACUCCUACGGGAGGCAGCAGAG